AUUGAACGCUGGCGGCAUGCCUUACACAUGCAAGUCGAACGGCAGCACGGACUUCGGUCUGGUGGCGAGUGGCGAACGGGUGAGUAAUAUAUCGGAACAUACCCAGUAGUGGGGGAUAACUAUCCGAAAGGAUAGCUAAUACCGCAUACGACCUGUGGAUGAAAGCAGGGGAUCUUCGGACCUUGUGCUAUUGGAAUGGCCGAUAUCUGAUUAGCUAGUUGGUAGGGUAAAAGCCUACCAAGGCGACGAUCAGUAGCUGGUCUGAGAGGACGACCAGCCACACUGGAACUGAGACACGGUCCAGACUCCUACGGGAGGCAGCAGUGGGGAAUUUUGGACAAUGGGGGCAACCCUGAUCCAGCAAUGCCGCGUGAGUGAAGAAGGCCCUCGGGUUGUAAAGCUCUUUUGUCAGGGAAGAAACGGAGUUCUCUAAUAUAGGAUUCUAAUGACGGUACCUGAAGAAUAAGCACCGGCUAACUACGUGCCAGCAGCCGCGGUAAUACGUAGGGUGCAAGCGUUAAUCGGAAUUACUGGGCGUAAAGCGUGCGCAGGCGGUUUUGUAAGUCUGAUGUGAAAUCCCCGGGCUCAACCUGGGAACUGCAUUGGAGACUGCAAGGCUAGAGUGUGUCAGAGGGGGGUAGAAUUCCACGUGUAGCAGUGAAAUGCGUAGAGAUGUGGAGGAAUACCGAUGGCGAAGGCAGCCCCCUGGGAUAACACUGACGCUCAUGCACGAAAGCGUGGGGAGCAAACAGGAUUAGAUACCCUGGUAGUCCACGCCCUAAACGAUGUCUACUAGUUGUCGGGACUUAAUGUCUGGUAACGCCAGCUAACGCGUGAAGUAGACCGCCUGGGAGUACGGUCGCAAGAUUAAAACUCAAAGGAAUUGACGGGGACCCGCACAAGCGGUGGAUGAUGUGGAUUAAUUCGAUGCAACGCGAAAAACCUUUACCUACCCUUGACAUGGCAGGAAUCCCGAAGAGAUUUGGGAGUGCUCGCAAGAGAACCUGCACACAGGUGCUGCAUGGCUGUCGUCAGCUCGUGUCGUGAGAUGUUGGGCUAAGUCCCGCAACGAGCGCAACCCUUGUCAUUAGUUGCUACGAAAGGGCACUCUAAUGAGACUGCCGGUGACAAACCGGAGGAAGGUGGGGAUGACGUCAAGUCCUCAUGGCCCUUAUGGGUAGGGCUUCACACGUCAUACAAUGGUACAUACAGAGGGCCGCCAACCCGCGAGGGGGAGCUAAUCCCAGAAAGUGUAUCGUAGUCCGGACUGUAGUCUGCAACUCGACUACAUGAAGUUGGAAUCGCUAGUAAUCGCGGAUCAGCAUGUCGCGGUGAAUACGUUCCCGGGUCUUGUACACACCGCCCGUCACACCAUGGGAGCGGGUUCUGCCAGAAGUAGGUAGCUUAACCGCAAGGAGGGCGCUUACCACGGCAGGGUUCGUGACUGGGGUG
RNAcentral lists this ribosomal RNA (1452 nucleotides) under uncultured bacterium. RNAcentral describes it as "bacterial SSU rRNA". It matches the Rfam family "Bacterial small subunit ribosomal RNA". The record is from RNAcentral.